GCUGGGGGCUGGGGGCCAGGGGAGUGUGCAGGCCAAGAAGCUGUGCUUAAAAUAGCCCCACGCAUCCACCAGCUCCUGGCCUGGGUUCAGGUGGCAUGUCUAUAACCAGCUGGCACCCAGAGCCCAGACUGAGUGGGGCUGCUGGUCAGGGAUGGGCGUGAAGGGCAGAAGUCUGGGCCAGGGGAGAUGGGGAUAGCAGGGACAGAGGGGCUCUCCAGGGCAAGGCUCAGUGGCCUCAUCAGCCAUUCUCUGCUCAGACAGAGGCACAAACAAAAUCCCAACCCCUUUCUCCUGUGAUUGGCAGCCAGGCUAGGAGGGGGCCCUCAGCAGGCAGAGGAGGAGAGCCAGAGGAGCUGGUGCAGACCACAGCUUUGCGGAGAGGAGUCUGGCCUUGUGGAAGUGGGAAUCACUGGAGACUUUGAAGCAUGGUCAUAUUUUCAAGUCACUUGCAGCUGUGUAGGAGUGGAAGUAGAAGAUGCAGGAGCAGCUGUCAGUAGACAGAUAAGAAAAGGAGAUCAGAUUCAAAGUUCCGCAGAGAAGUGGUGAGGUAACCAGUAUUGCCUAGCCUGGACACACAGGCAGCUUGAAACCUCAAGUGCACCAACAGAAAGAGCUCCAGGAAGAAUCAGAGGAGUGGGAUGUGAAGCCCCUCGAGGUUAUCCAAAAUAACCCAGAGUAUGAAAACCAGGAAAAUCUCAACAUGGGAGAAAAGAAGAUGAUCAAUACAUGCCCAUCCUGAGAUGAUUCAACUAUUGGAAUGAUCAGAUACAGACUUCAAAGCAGCUAUUUAUAACCAGCCUUCAGAAAGUAUUGGUGAAUAUUCUUAAACAAAAUGGAAAUGACAAAGGAUGGAGUCCAUAAAUUAGAUGAUAGUUUGGAAAAAGAUAUAAACUUACAAACCAAGAAGCUCAGUGAACCACACAACUGGAUAAAUUAACAACAAAAGUCCAAGCUUAGACACAUCAUAAAGAAACUUCUGAAAACUAAAGACCAAGAAAAAUAAGAUCAGCCAGAGAAAAACGAUACAUUUCAUUCAGGUGAACAAUUCUUUGAAAGACUGGAUCUUCACCAGAAACUAUAGAGGCCAGAAAGAAGUGGAACAUUUUUAGUUUUGAAAUAAUUGUCACCCAAGAAUUCUAUAUCCAGUAAAAAUUUCUAUUUUACUGGAAUAAAAGAAUGAAAUAAAAUAAAGACAUUCUCAAAUGAAGGCAAGCUGAGGAAAUUCAUAACCAAAGAAUCUGCUUUAAAAAAAUGUUAAACCAAGUUCUUCAGACAGAAGAGGUUACUGGGGGCAAUUCAAAACUUUGGGAAUGCAGGAAGAACAUCAUAAAUGGCAAAAGUCCACAUAAAUAUGAAACUAUUCUUUACUUCUUUAAGAGUUAUGUGAUGGUUGAAUUAAGUCAUGAUACUGUCUGAUGGAGGCUUCAGUGUAUACAGAUGUAAGACAACUAGAACAUGAGGGGAGAAGGGUGAAGGGACCUAGAUGGUAGUGAGGUUUCUACAUGCUACUUGAAAUGGCAAAACAUUAAUCUAAAUUGACUGUAAGAGUAUGUGUAUUUGGCCGGGCAGGGUGGCUCAUGCCUGUAAUCCCAGCAUUUUGGGAGGCCAAGGUGGGUGGAUCACCUAAAGUCAGGAGUUCGGGACUAGCCUGACCAACAUGGCAAAACCCUGUCUCUAUUAAAAAUACAAAAUUAGCCAGGUGUGGUGGUGCAUGCCUGUAAUCCCAGCUACUCGGGAGGCUGAGGCAGGAGAAUCGUUUGAAAUCGGGAGGCAGAGGUUGCAGUGAGCCAGAUUGUGCCAUUGCACUCCAACCUGGGCGACAAGAGCGAAACUCC
Molecule: long non-coding RNA, 1835 nt
Filed under: Pan troglodytes (chimpanzee)
Lineage: Eukaryota; Metazoa; Chordata; Mammalia; Primates; Hominidae
Description: long non-coding RNA NONPTRT015588
Source: RNAcentral